AACAAAUUGUCAAAACAUUGCCAAUUUUGGGGUCAAAUUCGUAUUUUUGACUAUGGAAUCAAUUAGAGGGGCCUUAUUAUUAUUAAGACCUAUUACAUGAAAACUUAAGAUAUCAAUAGAUUAAGAUAUCACGGGAUCACCCUGAAAUAUUGCAGAGAACUGUGACUAUCCUUUUUGCGGGCAUGUUAUCAUCACAAGAAAAAGUUUCCUCAACCUCAGCCUCAACCAGGUGGCUGGGGAGCUGGAGCAUGGGGUGGCCAUGGAGGAUGGGGUGGUAAUGGAGCCUGGGGUCAUGGAGGAUUGAGAAAAUGGUAAACCAUCUUAAAAAUCCUAUGGGGAGAAUAGUAUCAAGAUGCAGCUUGCUGAAGUGUGUAACAUGUAGUUUAUUGGACGAUAUUUUAUAGUCUAAUUUUGUACAUCUUAUUUUGUUUAUAUGUAAUGUUGCAUUAUAUUCUCCUAAUAUGUUUAAUUAAAUUGGAAAAAUUGAAAAAAU
This is a long non-coding RNA of Anthonomus grandis grandis, 493 nucleotides long. RefSeq lists it as uncharacterized. The record is from RefSeq and is a predicted model, not a curated record. The transcript is spliced from 2 exons. Lineage: Eukaryota; Metazoa; Arthropoda; Insecta; Coleoptera; Curculionidae.